RNAcentral lists this ribosomal RNA (276 nucleotides) under uncultured bacterium. RNAcentral's name for it is "partial 16S ribosomal RNA". It matches the Rfam family "Bacterial small subunit ribosomal RNA", at positions 65 to 353 of the family's 1533-position model. The record is from RNAcentral.
AAUUAUUUAUAGCCUCUGGCUAUAGGAAACUGUUAGUGGCAGACGGGUGAGUAAUGCGUAGGAAUCUACCUAGUAGCACGGAAUAGCCAUUAGAAAUGGUGGGUAAUACUGUAUAAUCCCCGAGGGGGAAAGAUUUAUCGCUAUUAGAUGAGCCUACGUUAGAUUAGCUAGUUGGUGAGGUAAUGGCUUACCAAGGCUAUGAUCUAUAGCUGGUCUGAGAGGACGAUCAGCCACACUGGAACUGAGAUACGGUCCAGACUCCUACGGGAGGCAGCA